UGGAUGGACCCGCGGUGCAUUAGCUAGUUGGUGAGGUAACGGCUCACCAAGGCCACGAUGCAUAGCCGACCUGAGAGGGUGAUCGGCCACAUUGGGACUGAGACACGGCCCAAACUCCUACGGGAGGCAGCAGUAGGGAAUCUUCGGCAAUGGACGAAAGUCUGACCGAGCAACGCCGCGUGAGUGAAGAAGGUUUUCGGAUCGUAAAACUCUGUUGUUAGAGAAGAACAAGGAUGAGAGUAACUGUUCAUCCCUUGACGGUAUCUAACCAGAAAGCCACGGCUAACUACGUGCCAGCAGCCGCGGUAAUACGUAGGUGGCAAGCGUUGUCCGGAUUUAUUGGGCGUAAAGCGAGCGCAGGCGGUUUCUUAAGUCUGAUGUGAAAGCCCCCGGCUCAACCGGGGAGGGUCAUUGGAAACUGGGAGACUUGAGUGCAGAAGAGGAGAGUGGAAUUCCAUGUGUAGCGGUGAAAUGCGUAGAUAUAUGGAGGAACACCAGUGGCGAAGGCGGCUCUCUGGUCUGUAACUGACGCUGAG
RNAcentral lists this ribosomal RNA (536 nucleotides) under Enterococcus sp. RNAcentral's name for it is "bacterial SSU rRNA". It matches the Rfam family "Bacterial small subunit ribosomal RNA", at positions 222 to 750 of the family's 1533-position model. The record is from RNAcentral. Lineage: Bacteria; Bacillati; Bacillota; Bacilli; Lactobacillales; Enterococcaceae.